This 529-nucleotide long non-coding RNA is filed under the name Homo sapiens (human). RNAcentral describes it as "HSALNT0360363". Lineage: Eukaryota; Metazoa; Chordata; Mammalia; Primates; Hominidae. The record is from RNAcentral.
CUUCACCUGUCUUUUCCCUGUUCCAUGGGAUGACACAGCAAAAAGACCCCUGCCAGAUGUUAGCCCCUUGAUUUUGGACCUCUCAGCCUUCAGAACUCCGCUGACAUUAGCUUCUCAUCACCCCGGGGUCCUGAAAUCUAGAACUGGCUUCAGAAGCAGGGAUGAUGGAGUCUUGCUCUGUCGCCAGGCUGGAGUGCAAUGGUGCAAUCUUGGCUCACUGCAACCUCCGCCUCCCCAGUUCAAGCAAUUCUUCUGCCUCAGCCUCCCGAGUAGCUGAGACUACAGUGGACCAGAGGAGAAGAUAUGGAUGAACUCCUUGGACCCACCCUGUUCCCAGCUCAUCUGGGAGAAUGAAGCUAAUUGGUAAAUCCACUGUUUGAUGCUUGUAAUGAAGACUCAAGGAGUUCUGUCUCUACCAAGUUCCUUGCCCUUAAUGACUCAAGAAUUAAUUUUAUCUUUUCCUCUCAAAACCUUGAAAGAAAUGCUUGAGUCCUUGUAACCUGUAAAAUAAAUGUUGUUACUGAAGGGA